UCGAAAUGGGCUGGGGUGAGUAUCCGGCAGAGUACAAUGCAAAGGUGCACGGACCAUACGAUCCGGCCCGGUGGUAUGGAAAGCGUAAGUUAUUUAUUCA
Folsomia candida is the source of this 100-nucleotide long non-coding RNA. It matches the Rfam family "Sphinx_ conserved region 1". Lineage: Eukaryota; Metazoa; Arthropoda; Collembola; Entomobryomorpha; Isotomidae. The record is from Rfam.